AAACGCAAAUGACAGGUAAAUAAAACACCGAAAUCUAACCGAUAGUGUCCUAAACGCAAAUGAGAGGUAAACAAAACACCGAAAUCUAACCGAUAGUGUCCUAAACGCAAAUGAGAGGUAAACAAAACACCGAAAUCUAACCGAUAGUGUCCUAAACGCAAAUGAGAGGUAAACAAAACACCGAAAUCUAACCGAUCGUGUCCUAAACGCAAAUGAGAGGUAAACAAAACACCGAAAUCUAACCGAUAGUGUCCUAAACGCAAAUGAGAGGUAAACAAAACACAGAAAUCUAACAGAUAGUGUCCUAAACGCAAAUGAGAGGUAAACAAAACACCGAAAUCUAACAGAUAGUGUCCUAAACGCAAAUGAGAGGUAAACAAAACACCGAAAUCUAACCGAUAGUUUCCUAAAUGCAAAUGAGAGGUAAACAAAACACCGAAAUCUAACCGAUAGUUUCCUAAACGCAAAUGAGAGGUAAACAAAACACCGAAAUCUAACAGAUAGUGUCCUAAACUCAAAUGAGAGGUAAACAAAACACCUAAAUCUAACCGAUCGUGUCCUAAACGCAAAUGAGAGGUAAACAAAACACCUAAAUCUAACCGAUAGUUUCCUAAACGCAAAUGACAGGUAAAAAAAACACCGAAAUCUAACCGAUAGUGUCCU
Long non-coding RNA from Myxocyprinus asiaticus (Chinese sucker), 663 nucleotides. RefSeq lists it as uncharacterized. The record is from RefSeq and is a predicted model, not a curated record. NCBI's taxonomy places the organism in Eukaryota, Metazoa, Chordata, Actinopteri, Cypriniformes, Catostomidae. The transcript is spliced from 4 exons.